AUUUCCUUGUGAGGGUACUGGGAAGGAUGAAAUGCAUAAAAGCAUCAGACACAAAUCAGUAAAAAUAAAAAUUCAAAUAUUCAGAUUGAUCUUCAUAAUUCUGCCUCCAUAGAAGACAAAACACCUACAAGAAUCAGCACCACUUUUCUAGUUCACAAUUGCACCUUGAAGAACUAUUAAACAAAAAACUAUAGGUCAUUUUAACUAGACAAGGGAAAACCCAAUUUUUCCUGGCAGGACAAAAGGUAACAUUCUU
RNAcentral lists this unclassified non-coding RNA (256 nucleotides) under Hevea brasiliensis (rubber tree). The record is from RNAcentral. Lineage: Eukaryota; Viridiplantae; Streptophyta; Magnoliopsida; Malpighiales; Euphorbiaceae.